CCUACGGGAGGCAGCAGCCGCGGUAAUAUUGGACAAUGGGCGAAAGCCUGAUCCAGCCAUGCCGCGUGAGUGAUGAAGGCCCUAGGGUUGUAAAGCUCUUUCAACGGUGAAGAUAAUGACGGUAACCGUAGAAGAAGCCCCGGCUAACUUCGUGCCAGCAGCCGCGGUAAU
This 171-nucleotide ribosomal RNA is filed under the name uncultured bacterium. RNAcentral describes it as "partial 16S ribosomal RNA". It matches the Rfam family "Bacterial small subunit ribosomal RNA", at positions 338 to 524 of the family's 1533-position model. The record is from RNAcentral.